This 334-nucleotide long non-coding RNA is filed under the name Phoenix dactylifera (date palm). RNAcentral's name for it is "long non-coding RNA (PDAC_LNC022098)". Lineage: Eukaryota; Viridiplantae; Streptophyta; Magnoliopsida; Arecales; Arecaceae. The record is from RNAcentral.
UUUGAUCCACUUUCAGGACUCCAAAUUUGAUGAAAUUUUUACCUAACAUUCUACACUCAUAGGGGAUUCCAAAGAGAUAACAUGCAUCAUCAUCGGAGGCCGUUUGACCCCCUAAAUAAUUCACCAAAGUUGGGACUUCGACAUAGUUUUUCCGUAAUGCCGGCAAAAUUUGUCGAAAUCCGAUUCUUCCUCUUUUAACCACCUCUACAACCCUUAUCUGAUCCCUCUAGACUACAUCCACCCUUUGUAUAGCCUAAUGUCAUCAAAAGACUAGAUAGGGAUGGAUAUUUACCUUUUUUUUUUGGAAAUCGAGGUCCUUGUGUAGAGGAGAAGG